ACUCCUACGGGAGGCAGCAGUGGGGAAUAUUGGACAAUGGGCGGAAGCCUGAUCCAGCAACGCCGCGUGAGGGAUGACGGCCUUCGGGUUGUAAACCUCUUUCAGUACCGACGAAGCGUGAGUGACGGUAGGUACAGAAGAAGCACCGGCCAACUACGUGCCAGCAGCCGCGGUAAUACGUAGGGUGCGAGCGUUGUCCGGAAUUAUUGGGCGUAAAGGGCUCGUAGGCGGUUUGUCGCGUCGGGAGUGAAAACACCGGGCUUAACUCGGUGCUUGCUUUCGAUACGGGCAGACUAGAGGUAUGCAGGGGAGAACGGAAUUCCUGGUGUAGCGGUGAAAUGCGCAGAUAUCAGGAGGAACACCGGUGGCGAAGGCGGUUCUCUGGGCAUUACCUGACGCUGAGGAGCGAAAGUGUGGGGAGCGAACAGGAUUAGAUACCCUGGUAGUCCACACCGUAAACGUUGGGCGCUAGGUGUGGGGCCUAUUCCAUGGGUUCCGUGCCGCAGCUAACGCAUUAAGCGCCCCGCCUGGGGAGUACGGCCGCAAGGCUAAAACUCAAAUGAAUUGACGGAAGGG
RNAcentral lists this ribosomal RNA (576 nucleotides) under uncultured Nocardioides sp. RNAcentral describes it as "bacterial SSU rRNA". It matches the Rfam family "Bacterial small subunit ribosomal RNA", at positions 335 to 921 of the family's 1533-position model. Lineage: Bacteria; Bacillati; Actinomycetota; Actinomycetes; Propionibacteriales; Nocardioidaceae. The record is from RNAcentral.